Molecule: ribosomal RNA, 497 nt
Filed under: Phelsuma andamanensis
Lineage: Eukaryota; Metazoa; Chordata; Lepidosauria; Squamata; Gekkonidae
Description: Phelsuma andamanense partial 16S ribosomal RNA
Rfam family: Bacterial large subunit ribosomal RNA
Source: RNAcentral
UAUUAAAGGUCCGACCUGCCCAGUGAAAUCUUUAACGGCCGCGGUAUCCUAACCGUGCAAAGGUAGCAUAAUCACUUGUCCCUUAAAUGAGGACUUGUAUGAACGGUCACAUGAGGGCCUAACUGUCUCCUGCAACCAAUCAAUGAAAUUGAUCUUACAGUACAAACGCUGUAAUACCACUAUAAGACGAGAAGACCCUGUGGAGCUUUAAAUUAAUACAUUAAUUUUAUAAAAAAUAUAAUGUAACUUUUUAGUUGGGGCGACUGUGGAGAAAAACAAAACCUCCAUGUAACACGACUUGACAUCGUAAUGCCAGGCCAACAAGCCAAGCCAAUAAUACAUGACCCAGUAAAACUGAGCAUCGAACCAAGUUACCCCAGGGAUAACAGCGCCAUCCCCUUAAAGAGCCCACAUCGCAAGGGGGGUUUACGACNGNAAUGUUGGAUCAGGACAUCCUAGUGGUGCAGCCGCUACUAAAGGUUCGUUUGUUCAACGAG